RNAcentral lists this ribosomal RNA (1270 nucleotides) under Chryseobacterium lathyri. RNAcentral's name for it is "bacterial SSU rRNA". It matches the Rfam family "Bacterial small subunit ribosomal RNA", at positions 72 to 1337 of the family's 1533-position model. The record is from RNAcentral. Lineage: Bacteria; Pseudomonadati; Bacteroidota; Flavobacteriia; Flavobacteriales; Weeksellaceae.
GAGAUUCUUCGGAAUCUUGAGAGCGGCGCACGGGUGCGGAACACGUGUGCAACCUGCCUUUAUCAGGGGAAUAGCCUUUCGAAAGGAAGAUUAAUGUCCCAUAAUAUAUUUUCUGGCAUCAGAAUAUAUUGAAAACUCCGGUGGAUAAAGAUGGGCACGCGCAGGAUUAGAUAGUUGGUAGGGUAACGGCCUACCAAGUCAACGAUCCUUAGGGGGCCUGAGAGGGUGAUCCCCCACACUGGUACUGAGACACGGACCAGACUCCUACGGGAGGCAGCAGUGAGGAAUAUUGGACAAUGGGUGAGAGCCUGAUCCAGCCAUCCCGCGUGAAGGACGACGGCCCUAUGGGUUGUAAACUUCUUUUGUACAGGGAUAAACCUUUCCACGUGUGGGAAGCUGAAGGUACUGUACGAAUAAGCACCGGCUAACUCCGUGCCAGCAGCCGCGGUAAUACGGAGGGUGCAAGCGUUAUCCGGAUUUAUUGGGUUUAAAGGGUCCGUAGGCGGACUCGUAAGUCAGUGGUGAAAUCUCACAGCUUAACUGUGAAACUGCCAUUGAUACUGCGGGUCUUGAGUGUUGUUGAAGUAGCUGGAAUAAGUAGUGUAGCGGUGAAAUGCAUAGAUAUUACUUAGAACACCAAUUGCGAAGGCAGGUUACUAAGCAACAACUGACGCUGAUGGACGAAAGCGUGGGGAGCGAACAGGAUUAGAUACCCUGGUAGUCCACGCCGUAAACGAUGCUAACUCGUUUUUGGGUCUUUAAGAUUCAGAGACUAAGCGAAAGUGAUAAGUUAGCCACCUGGGGAGUACGUUCGCAAGAAUGAAACUCAAAGGAAUUGACGGGGGCCCGCACAAGCGGUGGAUUAUGUGGUUUAAUUCGAUGAUACGCGAGGAACCUUACCAAGGCUUAAAUGGGAAUUGAUGGGUUUAGAAAUAGACCGUCCUUCGGGCAAUUUUCAAGGUGCUGCAUGGUUGUCGUCAGCUCGUGCCGUGAGGUGUUAGGUUAAGUCCUGCAACGAGCGCAACCCCUGUCACUAGUUGCCAUCAUUCAGUUGGGGACUCUAGUGAGACUGCCUACGCAAGUAGAGAGGAAGGUGGGGAUGACGUCAAAUCAUCACGGCCCUUACGCCUUGGGCCACACACGUAAUACAAUGGCCGGUACAGAGGGCAGCUACACAGCGAUGUGAUGCAAAUCUCGAAAGCCGGUCUCAGUUCGGAUUGGAGGGGGUACUUGGGUGUAGGUACCAGUCCCGUAUCAGCCGAAACCAAUA